AAAACAACUCUCAGCAACGGAUAUCUUGGCUCUUGCAACGAUGAAGAACGCAGCGAAAUGCGAUACGUAGUGUGAAUUGCAGAAUUCCGCGAAUCAUCGAGUCUUUGAACGCAAGUUGCGCCCGAGGCUUGACCAAGGGCAUUUCUGCCAGAGCGUCACC
RNAcentral lists this ribosomal RNA (160 nucleotides) under Hennediella longirostris. RNAcentral's name for it is "5.8S ribosomal RNA". It matches the Rfam family "5.8S ribosomal RNA". From Rfam's summary of the family: 5.8S ribosomal RNA (5.8S rRNA) is a component of the large subunit of the eukaryotic ribosome. Lineage: Eukaryota; Viridiplantae; Streptophyta; Bryopsida; Pottiales; Pottiaceae. RNAcentral also lists the same sequence under 1 other name. The record is from RNAcentral.